GACUACUAGGGUAUCUAAUCCUGUUCGCUCCCCAUGCUUUCGCUUCUCAGCGUCAGUUAUGGCCCAGAGACCUGCCUUCGCCAUCGGUGUUCCUCCUGAUAUCUGCGCAUUCCACCGCUACACCAGGAAUUCCGGUCUCCCCUACCAUACUCUAGUCUGCCCGUACCCACAGCAAGUCCGAGGUUGAGCCUCGGAUUUUCACUGCAGACGCGACAAACCGCCUACAAGCUCUUUACGCCCAAUAAUUCCGGACAACGCUCGCACCCUACGUAUUACCGCGGCUGCUGGCACGUAGUUAGCCGGUGCUUCUUCUGCAGGUACCGUCACUUUCGCUUCUUCCCUGCUGAAAGAGGUUUACAACCCGAAGGCCGUCAUCCCUCACGCGGCGUCGCUGCAUCAGGCUUUCGCCCAUUGUGCAAUAUUCCCCACUGCAGCCUCCCGUAGG
This 445-nucleotide ribosomal RNA is filed under the name uncultured Intrasporangiaceae bacterium. RNAcentral's name for it is "partial 16S ribosomal RNA". Lineage: Bacteria; Bacillati; Actinomycetota; Actinomycetes; Micrococcales; Intrasporangiaceae. The record is from RNAcentral.